Molecule: ribosomal RNA, 468 nt
Filed under: uncultured bacterium
Lineage: Bacteria
Description: partial 16S ribosomal RNA
Rfam family: Bacterial small subunit ribosomal RNA
Source: RNAcentral
GACGAACGCUGGCGGCGUGCUUAACACAUGCAAGUCGAACGGAAAGGCCCUGCUUUUGUGGGGUGCUCGAGUGGCGAACGGGUGAGUAACACGUGAGUAACCUGCCCUUGACUUUGGGAUAACUUCAGGAAACUGGGGCUAAUACCGGAUAGGAGCUCCUGCUGCAUGGUGGGGGUUGGAAAGUUUCGGCGGCUGGGGAUGGACUCGCGGCUUAUCAGCUUGUUGGUGGGGUAGUGGCUUACCAAGGCUUUGACGGAUAGCCGGCCUGAGAGGGUGACCGGCCACAUUGGGACUGAGAUACGGCCCAGACUCCUACGGGAGGCAGCAGUGGGGAAUAUUGCACAAUGGGCGGAAGCCUGAUGCAGCAACGCCGCGUGCGGGAUGACGGCCUUCGGGUUGUAAACCGCUUUCGCCUGUGACGAAGCGUGAGUGACGGUAAUGGGUAAAGAAGCACCGGCUAACUACGUG